Molecule: unclassified non-coding RNA, 167 nt
Filed under: rhizosphere metagenome
Description: partial ribosomal RNA internal transcribed spacer region
Source: RNAcentral
GAGAAAUUGCCCUUUGGGUACAUCUCCCGUCCUGAAUACCAUACCGGGUUGCUUUGGUAGACAUUUGCCAACGCAAGUGUUUGCCAGAGUUGUAAUCAUUCUUGUAUUUAGUAUGUCUGAGAAAAUAUAUAAUAUUUAAAACUUUCAACAACGGAUCUCUUGGUUCU